GCGGAUGUGGUGGAAUGGCAGACACGCAGGCUUGAGGGGUCUGUGGUAGCAAUACCGUAUGGGUUCAAGUCCCAUCAUCCGCACCA
This 86-nucleotide transfer RNA is filed under the name Bacillota bacterium. RNAcentral describes it as "tRNA-Leu". It matches the Rfam family "tRNA". From Rfam's summary of the family: Transfer RNA (tRNA) molecules are approximately 80 nucleotides in length. Their secondary structure includes four short double-helical elements and three loops (D, anti-codon, and T loops). The record is from RNAcentral. Lineage: Bacteria; Bacillati; Bacillota. RNAcentral also lists the same sequence under 3 other names.